RNAcentral lists this long non-coding RNA (373 nucleotides) under Carica papaya (papaya). RNAcentral's name for it is "long non-coding RNA (CPAP_LNC014141)". Lineage: Eukaryota; Viridiplantae; Streptophyta; Magnoliopsida; Brassicales; Caricaceae. The record is from RNAcentral.
UUGACGAAUAUAUGAAUAUUCUAUAUUGCUUUCUCCAGUGGGAUCACCAGUGAAACCAAGGAUGUACCUGUUUCGAAUCUGAAUUCUAAGGGACUUUUCUCGGUUAAGUCAUACUAUAGACAUUUGACUAAUAGAAGAAGCGCAAAUAAUAAGUUCACACGGGAAUAAUUUGGAAGGUAAAGGCCACUCCUAGAGUGGCUUUCUUCAUAAGGAAAGCAGUGUGGGAAUGCAAUAAUUUUGAAUAAGUUAAUCAGGAGGGAAAAGAUCCUGGCAAAUGAGUGUUACUUGUGCAAAGACAUGUAAUCACAUCCUUCUUUAGUGUCCAUUUGCACACCAACUUUGGCCUUCGGCACACAACUAUAAUGGUUGAGUU